This 228-nucleotide ribosomal RNA is filed under the name uncultured bacterium. RNAcentral's name for it is "partial 16S ribosomal RNA". It matches the Rfam family "Bacterial small subunit ribosomal RNA", at positions 122 to 334 of the family's 1533-position model. The record is from RNAcentral.
CAACCUGCCCUUCAGAGGGGGACAACAGUUGGAAACGACUGCUAAUACCGCAUACGAUCUAAUCUCGGCAUCGAGGAUAGAUGAAAGGUGGCCUCUAUUUAUAAGCUACCACUGAAGGAGGGGAUUGCGUCUGAUUAGCUAGUUGGAGGGGUAACGGCCCACCAAGGCGAUGAUCAGUAGCCGGUCUGAGAGGAUGAACGGCCACAUUGGGACUGAGACACGGCCCAA